ACUCAAAUGAAUUGACGGGGGCCCGCACAAGCGGUGGAGCGUGUGGUUUAAUUCGAUGCUAAGCGUAGAACCUUACCAGGGCUUGAAAUCUAGCUGCAUACCCUAAGAAACUAGGGUGGCCUUCGAGGGUGCUAGACAGGUGCUGCAUGGUUGCCGUCAGCUCGUGUUGUGAAAUGUUUCCUUCAGUGGAGUAACGAGCGCAACCCUCGUCGCGUGUUGCUUUUCACGCGAGACUGCCGUGGUCAACACGGAGGAAGGUGAGGAUGACGUCAAAUCAGCAUGGUCCUCUGACGCCCUGGGCGACACACGCGCUACAAUGGCUGGGACAACGAGCUUGCCAACCCGCGAGGGGAAGCGAAUCUCCCAAACCCAGUCUCAGUUCGGAUUGGAGGCUGCAACUCGCCUCCAUGAAGCUGGAAUCGCUAGUAACCGUGGAUCAGCCACGCCGCGGUGAAUACGUUCUCGGGCUUUGUACACACCGCCCGU
Molecule: ribosomal RNA, 486 nt
Filed under: uncultured bacterium
Lineage: Bacteria
Description: partial 16S ribosomal RNA
Rfam family: Bacterial small subunit ribosomal RNA
Source: RNAcentral